Molecule: ribosomal RNA, 200 nt
Filed under: uncultured bacterium
Lineage: Bacteria
Description: partial 16S ribosomal RNA
Rfam family: Bacterial small subunit ribosomal RNA
Source: RNAcentral
AGAGUUUGAUCAUGGCUCAGAACGAACGCUGGCGGCAGGCUUAACACAUGCAAGUCGAGCGCCCGCAGCAAUACGGGAGCGGGAGACGGGUGAGUAACACGUGGGAACGUACCCUUUGGUUCGGAAUAACCCAGGGAAACUUGGGCUAAUACCGGAUACGUCCGAAAGGAGAAAGAUUUAUCGCCGAGGGAUCGGCCCGC